RNAcentral lists this long non-coding RNA (1013 nucleotides) under Anser cygnoides (Swan goose). RNAcentral's name for it is "lncRNA (ENSACDG00005005073.1)". The record is from RNAcentral. Lineage: Eukaryota; Metazoa; Chordata; Aves; Anseriformes; Anatidae.
GGAAGCUUCCUUUAGUUAACUAAAAAGGAUGUAAAGGAUGGGGUUUUUUUGUACCUUAGGAGGUAGCAAGCACCAGUGAAGGUGAAAAUCAUGAUGGUAAAUACUACAGUUAUGUCUUUAGUUUCUGGCAAUAUAAAUCUUAAACUUUUUUCCCUGAUACAUCCUGAAAACGAGAAAAAGGGGGUAGUGCCCACUCUUGACUAGUUUAUAUAAAACUAUAAGGGAUUAUUGUGCUAAGUCUUUUUGAUGAGCUUUGGAAGAAUUUUCCAAGUUUUGAUGCAUACCUGAGACAUGCUGUGGAUUUAUUGUGGUAUGCAACCCAUCCCUAUUAUCCAUCCCCAUUUUUCAUCCCUGUGCACCACCCAUGUCCACAAAUAUCCCACAUAAACUCAGGCACUGAAAUUUGAAGGGAACUAUGGCCUGUGUCCAUAAGUCAGUCACAGCUAUGGAAAGAGUGUUGAAAAACUUGCUGUACAUAUAGAAACAACAGUAGAGAGCAAACAGCUGUUUUACUUAUUUAUUUACAAAAGCUAUUUUUAAAAUGCAAGAAAUAUAAAUAGUACAAUGAAUGAGACCUUAUAUACAGGCUAUUUAAAUCAUUCUCUAGAGCUGCAUAGUAAGGACACACUGAAUUCCAGAUUAGAGUUAAAAAUGUUUUUAAAUUCACCAGGUGCAUUCCCCCAGGACAUAUAAGCAAUCUACUCUGCAAUUCUGAAAAUGCAGUGUUCUAAAUGUAUUCCAAAUGUUGAUUGUUCAUGGCUUUUCUAUUGGAGAAAUCUUGCAUUUAUCUUCCCCUUCUCCACCACCCCAGAAUCCACAGAAGCCAUAAAUGGGAGAAUAGCCAAAGUUUUCAAGGCACAAAGUGAUAAGUUUUACUGAUGGAAAACAAAAUGUUCAAGAAAGACAUCUUCCACUUCCAUAAAAAACAUAUUUGGGGGCAUUUAAUUAGUCAUAGCUUUUAGUUAUUCCAGCAGUAAAAUAAACCAUGGCUUUGCUGUGGGGUAUUGCUUCUC